RNAcentral lists this ribosomal RNA (370 nucleotides) under uncultured organism. RNAcentral's name for it is "partial 16S ribosomal RNA". It matches the Rfam family "Bacterial small subunit ribosomal RNA", at positions 527 to 896 of the family's 1533-position model. The record is from RNAcentral.
GAAGGGGGCUAGCGUUGUUCGGAAUUACUGGGCGUAAAGCGCGCGCAGGCGGUUUUCCAAGUCAGAGGUGAAAGCCCAGAGCUCAACUCUGGAGCUGCCUUUGAAACUGGAAAACUAGGGUACGGGAGAGGUGAGUGGAAUUCCGAGUGUAGAGGUGAAAUUCGUAGAUAUUCGGAAGAACACCAGUGGCGAAGGCGGCUCACUGGCCCGUUACCGACGCUCAGGCGCGACAGCGUGGGGAGCAAACAGGAUUAGAUACCCUGGUAGUCCACGCCGUAAACGAUGGAUGCUAGCCCGUUGGUAAGCAUGCUUAUCAGUGGCGCAGCUAACGCAUUAAGCAUCCCCGCCUGGGAGUACGGCCGCAAGGUUG